UCUUGUGUUUCUGCAGCACAAUGAUUCUGAAGUUGGCUCUGUUCGUCACGCUGGUAUGUGUCACCUUUUCAGGACCAGUACCAACAAAUUAUCACUAUCAUCGGCAGUACACUCCGGAAAGAAUACACUUUAAUCCUCCCGAGCGCUCCACCGUAGGACCCGUCAGAGCCAUCCAAAAAAAUUUGAAUCCCUGUGGUGACGGCGGUUGUGUUGAUCCUGCCCUGGAACAGGCUCUUCUUCUUCCAACCAUAAAUGCCAUACUCGGCUGAAACAAAAAACGUCAUGCCGCGGGUGCAUAUCUGAUCAUGUAUACUUUACAGAUGGCAUAAAAACAUUUAUGCGUGUU
Long non-coding RNA from Haliotis rubra (blacklip abalone), 346 nucleotides. RefSeq lists it as uncharacterized. The transcript has 2 exons. Lineage: Eukaryota; Metazoa; Mollusca; Gastropoda; Lepetellida; Haliotidae. The record is from RefSeq and is a predicted model, not a curated record.